UACAAGAGUGCAUCGCCUGCAGUAGC
RNAcentral lists this non-coding RNA (26 nucleotides) under Homo sapiens (human). The record is from RNAcentral. Lineage: Eukaryota; Metazoa; Chordata; Mammalia; Primates; Hominidae.